GACGAACGCUGGCGGCGCGCCUAACACAUGCAAGUCGAACGGAGCUGAGAGAAGCUUGCUUUUCUUAGCUUAGUGGCGAACGGGUGAGUAACGCGUGAGUAGCCUGCCCUGGAGUGGGGGACAACAGUUGGAAACGACUGCUAAUACCGCAUAAGCCCACGAUCCGGCAUCGGAUUGAGGGAAAAGGAUUUAUUCGCUUCAGGAUGGACUCGCGUCCAAUUAGCUAGUUGGUGAGGUAACGGCCCACCAAGGCGACGAUUGGUAGCCGGACUGAGAGGUUGAACGGCCACAUUGGGACUGAGACACGGCCCAGAAUCCUACGGGAGGCAGCAGUGGGGGAUAUUGCACAAUGGGGGAAACCCUGAUGCAGCGACGCCGCGUGGAGGAAGAAGGUUUUCGGAUUGUAAACUCCUGUCGUUAGGGACGAUAAUGACGGUACCUAACAAGAAAGCACCGGCUAACUACGUG
This 468-nucleotide ribosomal RNA is filed under the name uncultured bacterium. RNAcentral's name for it is "partial 16S ribosomal RNA". It matches the Rfam family "Bacterial small subunit ribosomal RNA", at positions 28 to 507 of the family's 1533-position model. The record is from RNAcentral.